CCUACGGGCGGCAGCAGUGGGGAAUAUUGCACAAUGGGCGCAAACCUGAUGCAGCCAUGCCGCGUGUGUGAAGAAGGCCUUCGGGUUGUAAAGCACUUUCAGCGGGGAGGAAGGCGGUGAGGUUAAUAACCUCAUCGAUUGACGUUACCCGCAGAAGAAGCACCGGCUAACUCCGUGCCAGCAGCCGCGGUAAUACGGAGGGUGCAAGCGUUAAUCGGAAUUACUGGGCGUAAAGCGCACGCAGGCGGUCUGUCAAGUCGGAUGUGAAAUCCCCGGGCUCAACCUGGGAACUGCAUUCGAAACUGGCAGGCUAGAGUCUUGUAGAGGGGGGUAGAAUUCCAGGUGUAGCGGUGAAAUGCGUAGAGAUCUGGAGGAAUACCGGUGGCGAAGGCGGCCCCCUGGACAAAGACUGACGCUCAGGUGCGAAAGCGUGGGGAGCAAACAGGAUUAGAUACCCGAGUAGUC
This 465-nucleotide ribosomal RNA is filed under the name uncultured Klebsiella sp. RNAcentral describes it as "bacterial SSU rRNA". It matches the Rfam family "Bacterial small subunit ribosomal RNA", at positions 338 to 795 of the family's 1533-position model. Lineage: Bacteria; Pseudomonadati; Pseudomonadota; Gammaproteobacteria; Enterobacterales; Enterobacteriaceae. The record is from RNAcentral.